This 253-nucleotide ribosomal RNA is filed under the name uncultured bacterium. RNAcentral's name for it is "partial 16S ribosomal RNA". It matches the Rfam family "Bacterial small subunit ribosomal RNA", at positions 524 to 776 of the family's 1533-position model. The record is from RNAcentral.
UACGUAGGGGGCAAGCGUUGUCCGGAUUUAUUGGGCGUAAAGAGCGUGUAGGCGGCUAUACAGGUCCGCUGUGAAAACUCGAGGCUCAACCUCGAGACGUCGGUGGAAACCGUAUGGCUAGAGUCCGGAAGAGGAGAGUGGAAUUCCUGGUGUAGCGGUGAAAUGCGCAGAUAUCAGGAGGAACACCGGUGGCGAAGGCGGAUCUCUGGGCCGAUACUGACGCUGAGGAGCGAAAGCGUGGGGAGCGAACAGG